This 235-nucleotide ribosomal RNA is filed under the name uncultured microorganism. Its description in RNAcentral is "partial 16S ribosomal RNA". It matches the Rfam family "Bacterial small subunit ribosomal RNA", at positions 9 to 248 of the family's 1533-position model. The record is from RNAcentral.
GAGUUUGAUCAUGGCUCAGGACGAACGCUGGCGGCGUGCCUAAUACAUGCAAGUCGAGCGAGGGUUUUAAGACCCUAGCGGCGGACGGGUGAGUAACACGUAGGCAACCUGCCUCUCAGACCGGGAUAACAUAGGGAAACUUAUGCUAAUACCGGAUAGGUUUUGGAUUGCAUGAUCCGAAAAGAAAGAUGGCUUUUGCUAUCACUGGGUAGAUGGCCUGCGGCGCAUUAGCUAG